This 129-nucleotide ribosomal RNA is filed under the name Pteropus alecto (black flying fox). Lineage: Eukaryota; Metazoa; Chordata; Mammalia; Chiroptera; Pteropodidae. The record is from RNAcentral.
GUCUACGGCCAAGCCACCUGAUCCUACAUGAUCUUGGAAGGAUCCUACAUGAUCUUGGAAGCUAAGCAGGGUUGGGCCUGGUUAGUACUUGGAUGGGAGGCCACCUAAGAAGACCAGGUGCUGUAGGCG